UGUGUUGUCUGUCCACUCUCGAUCAGAGAUGCUGCCGUGUUACCAUCGAUUGUUCUGGUGCUACUCACUGAAAAUUAACAGUGGCAGUUCAGUGAUUUCCUAACGAAGAAAAAGUCACGGAGGUAGGAAAAAACUGAAGGGUGGGGGCAAUUAAAUUAAAAGACAGCGGCAACGACUGAAGACAGCGAGGGGAUACACUUUGAAAGAUUGAAUUUGAAGGUGAAGUACAAGGCAGUGUGGGGAAACAGAGGGGUCGUGCGGUCCAAGACCACAAUCCCUCGAAGUUGACGUGCAAGCUGUGAAGGUGGUUAAGAAGGUGUACGCCGUGCUGGCCUUCAUUUGUUUGAGUGGAUUCAAGAGCCGCGAGGGUUGAGUGAAGAGCCAUUGAUAUGACUUCCUGACCUGUUGCUCCAGAUGGCAAACUGGAGCAAAUCCAAGUCACCUUUCAGGCAAGGGUUGAUAUGUUUCAUCACCAGCGUUUCAAAUCACUUCAUCACUGUGGUUAACUGCUGCUCACUGGAUGUUAUUGUUUAUUGCACCAUUGUCUGUGAACUCUAGAAAAUCCCAGGAGAUCACUGAGAUACUCAAACCACCCCCUCUGGCACCAGCAAUCAUUCCACAGUCAGAGUCAUGUUUCUUCCACAUUCUGAUGUUUGGUCUGAACAAUUGAACUUCUUGACCAUGUCUGCAGGCUUUUAUGCAUUGAAUUGCUGCCACAAUUAGCUGAUUAGAUAUAUGCAUUAAGCAACAGGUAUACCUAAUAAAGUGGCCAUUAAGUGUG
Hypanus sabinus (Atlantic stingray) is the source of this 781-nucleotide long non-coding RNA. RefSeq lists it as uncharacterized. The record is from RefSeq and is a predicted model, not a curated record. The transcript is spliced from 3 exons. NCBI's taxonomy places the organism in Eukaryota, Metazoa, Chordata, Chondrichthyes, Myliobatiformes, Dasyatidae.